Strongylocentrotus purpuratus (purple sea urchin) is the source of this 249-nucleotide long non-coding RNA. RefSeq lists it as uncharacterized. The transcript has 3 exons. NCBI's taxonomy places the organism in Eukaryota, Metazoa, Echinodermata, Echinoidea, Camarodonta, Strongylocentrotidae. The record is from RefSeq and is a predicted model, not a curated record.
UAAGUAUAUGGGAUUUUGCUGGACACGACAUAUAUUACUCAACCCAUCAGGUGUUUCUGACGUGGCGAGCUAUUUAUGUGAUUGUCUUUGAUCUCAGUAGAAGUUUGGAUUCUGUCGUUCCCCAUGUAUCCAGAGACAAGAAUUAUGAAAUGGUUAAAGGAGGUGCCAAAUCAGAACUGACAUGUCUAGAGUUCAUCAAUUUCUGGUUGUAUUCCAUCUACGCCCAUGCUGUGGCGCCGUCUUCAGUCA